RNAcentral lists this ribosomal RNA (751 nucleotides) under uncultured Natronorubrum sp. Its description in RNAcentral is "bacterial SSU rRNA". It matches the Rfam family "Archaeal small subunit ribosomal RNA", at positions 119 to 868 of the family's 1478-position model. The record is from RNAcentral. Lineage: Archaea; Methanobacteriati; Methanobacteriota; Halobacteria; Halobacteriales; Natrialbaceae.
GAUCCGGAUAACCUCGGGAAACUGAGGCCAAUCCGGAAUACGAUUCCCAAGCUGGAACUGCUGGGAAUCCGAAACGCUCAGGCGCCAUAGGAUGUGGCUGCGGCCGAUUAGGUAGACGGUGGGGUAACGGCCCACCGUGCCAAUAAUCGGUACGGGUUGUGAGAGCAAGAGCCCGGAGACGGUAUCUGAGACAAGAUACCGGGCCCUACGGGGCGCAGCAGGCGCGAAACCUUUACACUGCACGCCAGUGCGAUAAGGGGACUCCGAGUGCGAGGGCAUAUAGUCCUCGCUUUUCACCACUGUAAGGAGGUGGUAGAAUAAGUGCUGGGCAAGACCGGUGCCAGCCGCCGCGGUAAUACCGGCAGCACGAGUGAUGACCGCUAUUAUUGGGCCUAAAGCGUCCGUAGCUGGCCGCGCAAGUCUAUCGGGAAAUCUGUGUGCCUAACACACAGGCGUCCGGUGGAAACUGCUCGGCUUGGGACCGGAAGACCAGAGGGGUACGUCUGGGGUAGGAGUGAAAUCCCGUAAUCCUGGACGGACCACCGGUGGCGAAAGCGCCUCUGGAAGACGGAUCCGACGGUGAGGGACGAAAGCUCGGGUCACGAACCGGAUUAGAUACCCGGGUAGUCCGAGCUGUAAACGAUGUCUGCUAGGUGUGACGCAAACUACGAGUUUGCGUUGUGCCAUAGGGAAGCCGUGAAGCAGACCGCCUGGGAAGUACGUCCGCAAGGAUGAAACUUAAAGGAAUUGG